Saccostrea echinata is the source of this 302-nucleotide long non-coding RNA. RefSeq lists it as uncharacterized. The record is from RefSeq and is a predicted model, not a curated record. Lineage: Eukaryota; Metazoa; Mollusca; Bivalvia; Ostreida; Ostreidae. The transcript is spliced from 3 exons.
UAAGUAUGGAAAGGUCUUUGUGGUUUGGUUGUGCCAGAGACAAAUGUGCAUUAUUUCCAUGUUGGGUCAGAAGUCUCGGUACACUUUAGGUGAGUGGCAGUUGGGUAGAUGGAUGACCUUCAGAUAGUUUGAGAUGAAGAAGUUCUUUUAAAUGGUUGAAAGUGAUCAUCAUAGAAUCAACUCCAUUAUGAAGAUAAAUUAUGAGAGUCAGCACUCCUUUUGUCCAACACCUGAGAGAUCUGACUACCCAGCCUACUGUUGAAUUAAUUGGUGACCAAGAAAAGAUGACAGAGAGGGGAAUC